UCCCUUGUGGCUCAGUUGGUAAAGUGUCUGCCUACAAUGUGGGAGACCCAGGUUCGAUCCCUGGGUUGGGAA
This 72-nucleotide transfer RNA is filed under the name Ovis aries (sheep). It matches the Rfam family "tRNA". Rfam says of the family: Transfer RNA (tRNA) molecules are approximately 80 nucleotides in length. Their secondary structure includes four short double-helical elements and three loops (D, anti-codon, and T loops). Lineage: Eukaryota; Metazoa; Chordata; Mammalia; Artiodactyla; Bovidae. The record is from Rfam by way of RNAcentral.